UGCAAAGAGGAGUUAGACCCCAUAAAUGGAAUUACAACCCACCGCUUAUACUUCAGCCACCUUUAC
This 66-nucleotide transfer RNA is filed under the name Ctenophorus femoralis. RNAcentral describes it as "tRNA-Tyr". The record is from RNAcentral. Lineage: Eukaryota; Metazoa; Chordata; Lepidosauria; Squamata; Agamidae.